Aethina tumida (small hive beetle) is the source of this 773-nucleotide long non-coding RNA. RefSeq lists it as uncharacterized. The record is from RefSeq and is a predicted model, not a curated record. Lineage: Eukaryota; Metazoa; Arthropoda; Insecta; Coleoptera; Nitidulidae. The transcript is spliced from 3 exons.
UUUGGGACAGAGAGGGGAAAGUGUAAACCCCUCUCCGGGUACCGAUCCGGAGAUCAUGACCAAAUGUUUCACAUAUGUGAUUGCACAUAUGGGGGAAAAGGGCGUAUAUUUGACAUAUACGGGUGAAUUAAACCAGAAGACGGGACUGACAAAGAUGCCAACCCCCUGUCAACUGGAUCCGGAAGAACAAGCCCAAUCUGAGGAAGGUACAAGGACCUUCCUGGGUGAGGAUUGGACUUGCAGUUUGAUCCGUUGGCUUCCCACCACCACUGGCUUGUGGAGCGGUACUGCCCGAUAUCAUCUAUGCUAAAUUAUGAUGGAACAAUAGCAGCAGAGUAUCAACGAAACUUUCCCAAAAAAGUCCAAUAAGACCAAUCAGAUUAAAUAAGAAAUACAUCAAGUUAAAGUGCACAAUACAAAAAGUUGAGGAUGCAGCAAAAUGGACACACAAAAUUGGAAUAUAUAAUGGCAAUCAGAACAUCAAGUUUUAUUGAGAAUCAGGUAUUAUGGCCAGUGAUAAGAUUCGUCCAAUUUUUUCCAUGCAUGGUUUUAAUUUCAGUUAACUGAGGAAUUUUUGUACAUAUAAAACAAAAAUUUACGUACACCUGAAGGAUAUUCGAUGAGAUAAAAAAAAUUAAAACUGAUCAACAAUUGCCACAUGUUGAAAAAAGAAGAUUUUUUGUUUUAGAACAUAGAUCUGAUUUCGUCACUUCACAUAAUUUGUAAUAAGAUUCUAAUAAUUUCAUUGGAACUGUAUAUAAGUAUUGUUUAUU